Molecule: unclassified non-coding RNA, 155 nt
Filed under: uncultured fungus
Lineage: Eukaryota; Fungi
Description: sequence contains ITS1
Source: RNAcentral
CAAGAAGAGACCGUUCUCCGGUCCUCUCAACCUUGCCCAUCGUACCCUUGUGUUGUUCCCUCGGCGAGGCUUGCGGGCCCGCCGGCGGGAAGAUCAACGAAACUCUUGUGCGAACAAGCAUCCAAAAAAUCUCUGAUCAAAAACAUGAAUUGUCA